Molecule: ribosomal RNA, 253 nt
Filed under: uncultured bacterium
Lineage: Bacteria
Description: partial 16S ribosomal RNA
Rfam family: Bacterial small subunit ribosomal RNA
Source: RNAcentral
UACAGAGGAGGCAAGCGUUGUUCGGAAUCACUGGGCUUAAAGCGCGUGUAGGCGGCGCGAUAAGUGUUCUGUGAAAUCCCACGGCUCACCCGUGGAACUGCAGGGCAUACUGUCGUGCUUGAGGCAGGUAGGGGCCACUGGAACUCUCGGUGGAACGGUGAAAUGUGUAGAUAUCGAGAGGAACGCCCGAGGCGAAAGCGGGUGGCUGGGCCUGUCCUGACGCUGAGACGCGAAAGCGUGGGGAGCAAACGGG